Molecule: ribosomal RNA, 499 nt
Filed under: uncultured bacterium
Lineage: Bacteria
Description: bacterial SSU rRNA
Rfam family: Bacterial small subunit ribosomal RNA
Source: RNAcentral
AUGAACGCUAGCGGCAGGCCUAACACAUGCAAGUCGAGCGGAAUGAUGAAGAAGCUUGCUUCUUCUGAUUUUAGCGGCGGACGGGUGAGUAACACGUGGGCAACCUACCUUGUAGAUUGGGAUAACUCCGGGAAACCGGGGCUAAUACCGAAUAAUCCAUUUUGCUUCAUGGCGAGAUGUUGAAAGACGGUUUCGGCUGUCACUACAAGAUGGGCCCGCGGCGCAUUAGCUAGUUGGUAGGGUAAUGGCCUACCAAGGCGACGAUGCGUAGCCGACCUGAGAGGGUGAUCGGCCACACUGGGACUGAGACACGGCCCAGACUCCUACGGGAGGCAGCAGUAGGGAAUCUUCCACAAUGGACGAAAGUCUGAUGGAGCAACGUCGCGUGAGUGAAGAAGGUUUUCGGAUCGUAAAACUCUGUUGUAAGGGAAGAACACGUACGAGAGUAACUGCUCGUACCUUGACGGUACCUUAUUAGAAAGCCACGGCUAACUACGUG